UGGGGAAUCUUAGACAAUGGGGGCAACCCUGAUCUAGCCAUGCCGCGUGAGUGAUGAAGGCCUUAGGGUCGUAAAGCUCUUUCGCCGGGGAAGAUAAUGACGGUACCCGGUAAAGAAACCCCGGCUAACUCCGUGCCAGCAGCCGCGGUAAUACGGAGGGGGUUAGCGUUGUUCGGAAUUACUGGGCGUAAAGCGCGCGUAGGCGGAUCGGAAAGUUGGGGGUGAAAUCCCGGGGCUCAACCCCGGAAUUGCCUUCAAAACUCCCGGUCUUGAGGUCGAGAGAGGUGAGUGGAAUUCCGAGUGUAGAGGUGAAAUUCGUAGAUAUUCGGAGGAACACCAGUGGCGAAGGCGGCUCACUGGCUCGAUACUGACGCUGAGGUGCGAAAGCGUGGGGAGCAAACAGG
This 404-nucleotide ribosomal RNA is filed under the name uncultured bacterium. RNAcentral's name for it is "bacterial SSU rRNA". It matches the Rfam family "Bacterial small subunit ribosomal RNA", at positions 355 to 776 of the family's 1533-position model. The record is from RNAcentral.